CCAAUAGCGUAUAUUAAAGUUGUUGCAGUUAAAAAGCUCGUAGUUGAAUUUCGGGAUUGACGUGAUGGUCGUGCCUUAAGGGGUAUGAACUGUUGCUGUUGAUUUCUCACCUUCUGGAGAAUCUUGAUGUCCUUAAUUGGGUGUCUUGCGGAUCCAGGACCUUUACCUUGAAAAAAUUAGAGUGUUUAAAGCAGGCAUUUUGCUCGAAUACAUUAGCAUG
Molecule: ribosomal RNA, 220 nt
Filed under: uncultured Entrophospora
Lineage: Eukaryota; Fungi; Glomeromycota; Glomeromycetes; Entrophosporales; Entrophosporaceae
Description: uncultured Claroideoglomus partial small subunit ribosomal RNA
Rfam family: Eukaryotic small subunit ribosomal RNA
Source: RNAcentral